This 492-nucleotide ribosomal RNA is filed under the name uncultured bacterium. Its description in RNAcentral is "partial 16S ribosomal RNA". It matches the Rfam family "Bacterial small subunit ribosomal RNA", at positions 29 to 507 of the family's 1533-position model. The record is from RNAcentral.
AGUGAACGCUGGCGGUAGGCCUAACACAUGCAAGUCGAACGGCAGCACAGUAAGAGCUUGCUCUUACGGGUGGCGAGUGGCGGACGGGAGAGGAAUACAUCGGAAUCUACUUUUUCGUGGGGGAUAACGUAGGGAAACUUACGCUAAUACCGCAUACGACCUACGGGUGAAAGCAGGGGAUCUUCGGACCUUGCGCGAUUGAAUGAGCCGAUGUCGGAUUAGCUAGUUGGCGGGGUAAAGGCCCACCAAGGCGAGGAUCCGUAGCUGGUCUGAGAGGAUGAUCAGCCACACUGGAACUGAGACACGGUCCAGACUCCUACGGGAGGCAGCAGUGGGGAAUAUUGGACAAUGGGCGCAAGCCUGAUCCAGCCAUACCGCGUGUGUGAAGAAGGCCUUCGGGUUGUAAAGCCCUUUUGUUGGGAAAGAAAAGCAGCAGGUUAAUACCCCGCUGUUCUGACGGUACCCAAAGAAUAAGCACCGGCUAACUUCGUG